AGUGAACGCUGGCGGUAGGCCUAACACAUGCAAGUCGAACGGCAGCACAGUAAGAGCUUGCUCUUACGGGUGGCGAGUGGCGGACGGGUGAGGAAUACAUCGGAAUCUACUUUUUCGUGGGGGAUAACAUAGGGAAACUUACGCUAAUACCGCAUACGACCUACGGGUGAAAGCAGGGGAUCUUCGGACCUUGCGCGAUUGAAUGCGCCGAUGUCGGAUUAGCUAGUUGGCGGGGUAAAGGCCCACCAAGGCGACGAUCCGUAGCUGGUCUGAGAGGAUGAUCAGCCACACUGGAACUGAGACACGGUCCAGACUCCUACGGGAGGCAGCAGUGGGGAAUAUUGGACAAUGGGCGCAAGCCUGAUCCAGCCAUACCGCGUGGGUGAAGAAGGCCUUCGGGUUGUAAAGCCCUUUUGUUGGGAAAGAAAAGCAGCAGGUUAAUACCCCGCUGUUCUGACGGUACCCAAAGAAUAAGCACCGGCUAACUUCGUG
This 492-nucleotide ribosomal RNA is filed under the name uncultured bacterium. RNAcentral describes it as "partial 16S ribosomal RNA". It matches the Rfam family "Bacterial small subunit ribosomal RNA", at positions 29 to 507 of the family's 1533-position model. The record is from RNAcentral.